UAGAAGAAAAAGAGGACUUUAGCCACUGG
Molecule: non-coding RNA, 29 nt
Filed under: Mus musculus (house mouse)
Lineage: Eukaryota; Metazoa; Chordata; Mammalia; Rodentia; Muridae
Source: RNAcentral